RNAcentral lists this ribosomal RNA (497 nucleotides) under uncultured bacterium. Its description in RNAcentral is "partial 16S ribosomal RNA". It matches the Rfam family "Bacterial small subunit ribosomal RNA", at positions 28 to 507 of the family's 1533-position model. The record is from RNAcentral.
GACGAACGCUGGCGGCGUGCCUAAUACAUGCAAGUUGAGCGCUGAAGGUUGGUACUUGUACCAACUGGAUGAGCAGCGAACGGGUGAGUAACGCGUGGGGAAUCUGCCUUUGAGCGGGGGACAACAUUUGGAAACGAAUGCUAAUACCGCAUAAAAACUUUAAACACAAGUUUUAAGUUUGAAAGAUGCAAUUGCAUCACUCAAAGAUGAUCCCGCGUUGUAUUAGCUAGUUGGUGAGGUAAAGGCUCACCAAGGCGAAGAUACAUAGCCGACCUGAGAGGGUGAUCGGCCACAUUGGGACUGAGACACGGCCCAAACUCCUACGGGAGGCAGCAGUAGGGAAUCUUCGGCAAUAGACGAAAGUCUGACCGAGCAACGCCGCGUGAGGGAAGAAGGUUUUCGGAUCGUAAAACUCUGUUGGUAGAGAAGAACGUUGGUGAGAGUGGAAAGCUCAUCAAGUGACGGUAACUACCCAGAAAGGGACGGCUAACUACGUG